AGGAUGAACGCUGGCGGCGUGCUUAACACAUGCAAGUCGAACGAUGAAGGCUGGAGCUUGCUCUGGCUGGAUUAGUGGCGAACGGGUGAGUAACACGUGAGUAACCUGCCCCAGACUCUGGGAUAAGCGCUGGAAACGGCGUCUAAUACCGGAUACGAGCUUCCACCGCAUGGUGAGGAGCUGGAAAGAAUUUCGGCUGGGAUGGACUCGCGGCCUAUCAGCUUGUUGGUGAGGUAAUGGCUCACCAAGGCGACG
Molecule: ribosomal RNA, 255 nt
Filed under: uncultured soil bacterium
Lineage: Bacteria
Description: partial 16S ribosomal RNA
Rfam family: Bacterial small subunit ribosomal RNA
Source: RNAcentral